UAGGGAAUCUUCGGCAAUGGACGAAAGUCUGACCGAGCAACGCCGCGUGAGUGAAGAAGGUUUUCGGAUCGUAAAACUCUGUUGUUAGAGAAGAACAAGGACGUUAGUAACUGAACGUCCCCUGACGGUAUCUAACCAGAAAGCCACGGCUAACUACGUGCCAGCAGCCGCGGUAAUACGUAGGUGGCAAGCGUUGUCCGGAUUUAUUGGGCGUAAAGCGAGCGCAGGCGGUUUCUUAAGUCUGAUGUGAAAGCCCCCGGCUCAACCGGGGAGGGUCAUUGGAAACUGGGAGACUUGAGUGCAGAAGAGGGGAGUGGAAUUCCAUGUGUAGCGGUGAAAUGCGUAGAUAUAUGGAGGAACACCAGUGGCGAAGGCGGCACUCUGGUCUGUAGCUGACGCUGAGGCUCGAAAGCGUGGGGAGCAAACAGG
Molecule: ribosomal RNA, 429 nt
Filed under: Gemmatimonadota bacterium
Lineage: Bacteria; Pseudomonadati; Gemmatimonadota
Description: Gemmatimonadetes bacterium partial 16S ribosomal RNA
Rfam family: Bacterial small subunit ribosomal RNA
Source: RNAcentral